RNAcentral lists this ribosomal RNA (500 nucleotides) under uncultured bacterium. RNAcentral describes it as "partial 16S ribosomal RNA". It matches the Rfam family "Bacterial small subunit ribosomal RNA", at positions 29 to 523 of the family's 1533-position model. The record is from RNAcentral.
AUUGAACGCUGGCGGAAUGCUUUACACAUGCAAGUCGAACGGCAGCACGGGGGCAACCCUGGUGGAGAGUGGCGAACGGGUGAGUAAUACAUCGGAACGUGCCCAGUCGAGGGGGAUAACGUAGCGAAAGUUACGCUAAUACCGCAUACGAUCUACGGAUGAAAGCGGGGGACCGUAAGGCCUCGCGCGAUUGGGGGGGCCGAUGUCAGAUUAGGUAGUUGGUGAGGUAAAGGCGCACCAAGGCGACGAUCAGUAGCUGGUCUGAGAGGACGACCAGCCACACUGGCACUGCGACACGGUCCAGACUCCUACGGGAGGCAGCAGUGGGGAAUUUUGGACAAUGGGCGCAAGCCUGAUCCAGCCAUUCCGCGUGAGUGAAGGAGGCCUUCGGGUUGUAAAGCUCUUUCGCAAGGGAAGAAAACUUAGCCACUAACAUUGGUUGAGGUUGACGGUACCUUGAUAAGAAGCACCGGCUAACUACGUGCCAGCCGCCGCAGUAA